Molecule: RNA transcript, 2177 nt
Organism: Brassica napus (rape)
Lineage: Eukaryota; Viridiplantae; Streptophyta; Magnoliopsida; Brassicales; Brassicaceae
Exons: 10
Source: RefSeq, a predicted model, not a curated record
CAUUAACUGUUGAGUCGGAAAUCAGAAUAGAGAUUUUAUUUUGAAUUUCAAAUUGAGAAACUUUUUAAGAUUGCGAAAUAAAUAAGAUGGCCUAUGCUCUUUAUUUGACACCUAAGAGAUAGACAGAUUAAGAUUAGUGUGGGAGAAUCUAGCAGAAACUUUCAGAAGAAGCUAAGGGUUUUGGUUCUCGAAUCACAUAGCUCUUCUUCUCUAUUCUUCUCGGAUUUUUGAAGGUUCUCUUUCAGCCAUUUGAAGAGUUGAAGAGAAAAAAAAGGGAUUAUGUCAUUUAAGUCUUUUGUACUUGAGAGAAGAAGCUAAAGUGCAGUAUUUGUUGGAGAAGUUCAUCAUUUGGUUUUUAUGGUGAUAACUGCCAAACUCCAGAGCCUUAGGAUGUAUGACUCUCAAGUUUUGAAAUCUAAGUCAGAGGGCAAAGAGAGAUGCCAAGAGUCUACAAGUGGUGAAUCGUUUCUGUAUAGAUACCAACUUGAAGAGGAUGUAAAAAGAUUGCAACUGCAACUACAAGAAGAAUUAAAGCUGCAUACUUUUUUAGAGAGCAUCAUGGAGAAGGAUCCUUGGGAGCUAACUUCUGCUUGUAGUGUUCCACAUCAUGCUCAAGAACUGCUUUCCAAUAUAUCCACCCUAGAGACUGCAGUCACCAAGCUAGAGCAAGAAAUGAUGUCUCUGAACUUCCAACUUAGCCAAGAAAGAAACGAGAGAAGACUAACUGAAUAUCAUUUGACACACUCAGCUUCUCCACCAAACAUUUCUUCUUCCUUGAUAUAUUUGAAUCAUUCGGAUUCUGAAGUACAUCAAUCAGCAGAAGACAAUCCAUGCCAAAACCAAGACUCUUCAUCUGAAUCAUCUCAGGCAGAAUCAACUGUUAAGAAGAGUAAUCAAAUUCUUGAGAAGAGACUAAUGAGAAAGACAAAUGGGAGGAAGCUACCUAAGUACAUGUGGGAUCACCCUAAUCUACUCUCUGAAGAAAUGGUGAGAUGUAUGAAGAACAUCUUCAUGUCACUUGCUGACCAGACAAAAGCAUCCUCAAACGAGAGCCAACUACUCUCACCGGUGGCAUCACCACGUGGGCAUCUAUCAAGCUCAUCAUCCUGGUGGCCUUCAACAGAACGGUAAAAAAUCUCUUCAUGGGUGCAAAGCCCUCAGAUAGAUAUCCAAAGAAGUAACAACGAUGUCUUGGCCACAGGAAACGUCUUUGAUCCUUACAGAGUUCGUGGGAAGCUAAGCUGGUCGGAGAUUGGAAACUACAGUUUGGCAUCCGAGGUUUCUUGGAUGUCUGUUGGGAAGAAACAGCUUGAAUAUGCUUCUGGUGCAUUGAGAAGGUUCAGGACACUGGUGGAGCAGCUUGCUAGAGUAAACCCAAUUCAUUUGAGCUGUGAUGAGAAGCUAGCUUUCUGGAUUAACGUUUAUAACGCGUUGAUCAUGCAUGCGUAUUUGGCUUAUGGUGUCCCAAAAAGUGACUUGAAGCUCUUCUCGUUGAUGCAAAAGGCUGCCUAUACGGUUGGAGGACACUCGUAUACUGCAGCUGCAAUGGAGUAUGUGAUACUGAAGAUGAAACCGCCUACGCACAGGCCACAAAUUGCUUUGCUUCUUGCCAUCAACAAGGUGAAAGUAUCAGAAGAACAACGCAAGGCAAGCAUUGAUACACAUGAGCCUCUUCUCUCCUUUGCCUUAAGCUGCGGAAUGUACUCUUCUCCUGCGGUGAGGAUCUACACAGCGAAAGGAGUGAAGGAAGAGCUACUAGAAGCUCAAAGAGAGUUCAUACAAGCAUCGGUAGGGCUGAGCAGCAAAGGGAAGCUCCUGGUACCCAAAAUGCUUCAUUGUUACGCCAAGAGUUUGGUGGAGGAUUCGAACUUGGGGGUCUGGAUAUCGAAGUACCUUCCACCACAUCAAGCAGCUUUUGUGGAACAGUGCAUCUCUCAGAGAAGCAGACAAAGUCUUCUCUCCUCACGUAGCUGUGGAAUACUCCCCUUUGAUUCUCGUUUCAGAUAUCUGUUUCUCCCUGACAACAACAACAACAACUCCUGUGUGUAAUAACCUUUUAAAAGCUCUGCUUUGUGUUCAUCAGCAUGUAUCAUUAUUGUUCCCAACUUAGCUUUGGGGCUUAUCAUUGUACAUUUUUUUCAGAUAAUGUAUAUGUAAAAAGAAACUUUGAACAAUCA